UACGGAGGGUGCAAGCGUUGUUCGGAAUCACUGGGCGUAAAGCGCGUGUAGGCGGCUUCGUAAGUCUGGUGUGAAAGCCCGGGGCUCACCCCCGGAAGUGCACUGGAAACUGCAAGGCUCGAGUACCGGAGAGGAGGGUGGAAUUCCUGGUGUAGCGGUGUAAUGCGUAGAUAUCAGGAGGAACACCGGUGGCGAAGGCGGCCCUCUGGACGGAUCCUGACGCUGAGCCGCGAAAGCGUGGGGAGCUAACAGU
RNAcentral lists this ribosomal RNA (253 nucleotides) under uncultured bacterium. Its description in RNAcentral is "partial 16S ribosomal RNA". It matches the Rfam family "Bacterial small subunit ribosomal RNA", at positions 524 to 776 of the family's 1533-position model. The record is from RNAcentral.